Molecule: transfer RNA, 78 nt
Filed under: Thermoprotei archaeon
Lineage: Archaea; Thermoproteati; Thermoproteota; Thermoprotei
Also listed under: 1 other name
Description: tRNA-Asp
Rfam family: tRNA
About the family: Transfer RNA (tRNA) molecules are approximately 80 nucleotides in length.
Source: RNAcentral
GCCCCGGUCGUAUAGCCUGGUCUAGUAUGGCGGACUGUCACUCCGCCGACCCGGGUUCAAAUCCCGGCCGGGGCGCCA